CUUGACUAGGCUGGGUGAGAUUGACACUUCAGGCUGUGGUCUACUCCAUAAACCUGCAACACCCAGUCUUAUGGUGGGAAGAAUAGCAGGCAAAUAGUGAUUCAGGAAUGUCCUAAAGAAUGCUGGACAACGAUCCUCAAGAUUGCCAGGAUUCAAAUUUUCUUGAAAUCAUCCAAAUAUGUAUGACACUGAUCUUGGAAGGUACAUCAUGGCAUGUGCGUGUGCAUGUAAACAGAUAUGAUGAUGAUAAUGAUGAUGAUGAGGAGGACAAUGACAAAAAAGAUGAAGACAUCCAUUGUCAACUUCUGUAACCACCUGCAUUGAAUCUUUCCAUCACCCUCCACUCGUUGUGGCAUGUUUGAUAAUCACACGUGUACAUGUAACCUGCGAUCUACCAUUUGAUUGAUAAGCAUAUCGAUAAUAAGAUUCAGAAGGAACAAAGAGCUUGCAGUUGCCAUGGUACUGAUUCCAAAUGAGACCUCAAGAACUCAGUCAAGUGAAGCCUCCUCCUCACGCAUAGGACCUGGGAUCUGAAUUUGGAUCCUCUUGUAUGUGGGGCACUUUACCAGUGAGCCAUCUCUCUGCCUUUCAGUGAUAAAAUAGCAUCACUAGAGAGGCUGGAGGAAACACAUUGGUGAUAGAUUCAUUUAUGUCCCAGAUGAUGUUAACCCUUUUAGGUUGCAAGGAACUGGUGGUGUCCGGCACACUUCACCAUCCAUCAGCUGAGGGAUGCUCUAGGUUGGAGCCUGGACUACUGGACUUGCUGCCUUCCAGCCACAACACAGGCUCUGCAGAGGCACUUCUCAUAUAAGCAAAUGCCAGUACCCACAGUGGACAACCAGACACUGAGGGUGGAGCAGGCAAGAGUGACAUAUUGUCAUCCCCACAGCUCACAUGGAGCCACUUUCUUCACUUGUUCCUCCUACACUGGGCGCUGAAGGAAACCAGGAGUGUUUCCUCCAGAAGGUGAUAAAGGAGCUGUCAUGAUGUGACUGUGCAGUGCCCCGCCCCCAGGCUCAUAGGUUUGAACACCUAGUUUUCACUUGGUGGUAUUGUUUGGGUUGGUUGUGAACUCUUGAGGAGUUGUAGCUUUGCUGGAAGAAGUGGUUUAAAGGGGUUUUGUAGUCAACUCCACAUCUUGUUCUCUCCCUUUCUGCAUUCUGACUUCGGAUUAAACUGAGAGCAGCUGGCCUAAUGCUCUGUGGCCACGCUUCCUCUGCCAUGGACUGCCCUGGAACUCUAAGGCUGGAAUAAAUCCUUUCUUCCC
This 1267-nucleotide long non-coding RNA is filed under the name Mus musculus (house mouse). RNAcentral's name for it is "RIKEN cDNA 4930549C15 gene (4930549C15Rik)". Lineage: Eukaryota; Metazoa; Chordata; Mammalia; Rodentia; Muridae. The record is from RNAcentral.